This 162-nucleotide ribosomal RNA is filed under the name uncultured bacterium. RNAcentral's name for it is "partial 16S ribosomal RNA". It matches the Rfam family "Bacterial small subunit ribosomal RNA", at positions 1337 to 1500 of the family's 1533-position model. The record is from RNAcentral.
AGUAAUCGCGGAUCAGCAUGCCGCGGUGAAUACGUUCUCGGGCCUUGUACACACCGCCCGUCACACCAUGGGAGUCGGUAACACCCGAAGUCUGUAGCCUGACGCAAGAGGGCGCAGCCGAAGGUGGGAUUGAUGACUGGGGUGAAGUCGUAACAAGGUAAC